RNAcentral lists this unclassified non-coding RNA (184 nucleotides) under Glomeromycotina sp. RNAcentral's name for it is "partial contains small subunit ribosomal RNA, internal transcribed spacer 1, and 5.8S ribosomal RNA". The stretch from base 1 to 47 matches the Rfam family "Eukaryotic small subunit ribosomal RNA", at positions 1785 to 1831 of the family's 1831-position model. The record is from RNAcentral. Lineage: Eukaryota; Fungi; Glomeromycota.
AAAGUCGUAACAAGGUUUCCGUAGGUGAACCUGCGGAAGGAUCAUUACUAGUAUGGCGAACCGAGCGUUAGCGAGGUUUUGCGAUCAAAUUUAUAUUUAAAACCCCACUCUUCAAAUGUAUUAUAUUGUAUUUUUGAUAAAUAAAUAAAAAAGAUCACUUUCAACAACGGAUCUCUUGGCUCUC